GCAGCAGCAGGGAAUAUUGCACAUAGGGCGAAAGCCUGAUGCAGCGACGCGCCGUGAGUGAAGAAGGCCUUCGGGUCGUAAAGCUCUUUUGUAGGGGAAGAGGAAGGACGGUACCCUAAGAAGAAGCGUCGGCUAACUACGUGCCAGCAGCCGCGGUAAGACGUAGGACGCGAGCGUUAUCCGGAAUUACUGGGCGUAAAGGGCCAGCAGGCGGCUUGGUAAGUUGUGCGUGAAAGCCUCGUGCUCAACGCGAGGAAGCCGGACAAUACUGUCAAGCUAGAGGGCAUCAGAGGGGAGUGGAAUUCCCGGAGUAGCGGUAAAAUGCGCAGAUAUCGGGAGGAACACCGAUGGCGAAGGCAGCUCCCUGGGAUGCACCUGACGCUAAGAGGCGAAAGCUAGGGGAGCGAACAGGAUUAGAGACCCUGGUAGUCCUAGCUGUAAACGCUGGGUGCUAGGUGUGGGACGUAGAAGUUCCGUGCCGGAGCAAACGCGAUAAGCACCCCGCCUGGGAAUUACGGUCGCAAGGCUAAAACUCAAACGAAUUGACGGGGCCCCGCACAAGCAGCGGAGCGUGUGGUUCAAUUCGAUGCUACACGAAGAACCUUACCUGGGUUUGACAUGUACGUGGUACGAAGGCGAAAGCCUAAGGACCCUUCGGGGAGCGUACACAGGUGCUGCAUGGCUGUCGUCAGCUCGUGCCGUGAGGUGUCGGGUUAAGUCCCGUAACGAGCGCAACCCUUGCCCUUAGUUACAAGUGUCUAAGGGGACUGCCGGCGGGAAGCCGGAGGAAGGUGGGGAUGACGUCAAGUCAGCAUGGCCCUUAUGUCCAGGGCUACACACACGCUACAAUGGUCAGUACAAAGGGUAGCGAAGUCGCGAGGCGGAGCGAAUCUCAACAAAGCUGAUCGUAGUUCGGAUUGCAGGCUGCAACCCGCCUGCA
This 940-nucleotide ribosomal RNA is filed under the name uncultured organism. RNAcentral's name for it is "bacterial SSU rRNA". It matches the Rfam family "Bacterial small subunit ribosomal RNA", at positions 348 to 1320 of the family's 1533-position model. The record is from RNAcentral.